CAGGGGUGUCAGAUUUGGGUGCGACGAUGAGAGACCUGCAUUGUCACAAGGUUCGCUUGAUAAUUACAGACAUGAGUGCACAGUAUUGUGAGACUGAUAAGCAUCGAUGCGGGGGAAGAUAGGGAAUACAGAGCGUUAAAGGAUAACUGAAAGCAAUACUGACAGCUUGACAACUGCAAAAAGUGAAAUGAGAAAGGAAGGAUAUCAAUGGCAGUAACAUUAACAGGAUCACAACAACAAGGACAGACAUUCGCUCGGUGUAUAUCCUGCUGGCAUUAACAUAUAAAUGCGUAUAACAGUUGGCGCGUGGGCAGAGCAGCUCAUUGAGCAAUGUCAUCUACUAGAUACAAAUGUAUCUUAGCAGGUACAACAGAGGCCAGCAGCAGCAACAACAACAGCAAUCUCAACGGGGAAAUAAGCUACAAAUCGAUGCAUACUGAAAGCAACAAGUAAAGCACAACACAAAAGCAAAAUAAAAAUAAAAAUAAAAACAAAAA
This is a long non-coding RNA of Drosophila innubila, 497 nucleotides long. RefSeq lists it as uncharacterized. Lineage: Eukaryota; Metazoa; Arthropoda; Insecta; Diptera; Drosophilidae. The transcript is spliced from 2 exons. The record is from RefSeq and is a predicted model, not a curated record.